UAGGGAAUCUUCGGCAAUGGGGGCAACCCUGACUGAGCAACGCCGCGUGAGUGAAGAAGGUUUUCGGAUCGUAAAGCUCUGUUGUAAGAGAAGAACGUGUGUGAGAGUGGAAAGUUCACACAGUGACGGUAACUUACCAGAAAGGGACGGCUAACUACGUGCCAGCAGCCGCGGUAAUACGUAGGUCCCGAGCGUUGUCCGGAUUUAUUGGGCGUAAAGCGAGCGCAGGCGGGUUAAUAAGUCUGAAGUUAAAGGCAGUGGCUUAACCAUUGUUCGCUUUGGAAACUGUUAAACUUGAGUGCAGAAGGGGAGAGUGGAAUUCCAUGUGUAGCGGUGAAAUGCGUAGAUAUAUGGAGGAACACCGGUGGCGAAAGCGGCUCUCUGGUCUGUAACUGACGCUGAGGCUCGAAAGCGUGGGGAGCAAACAGG
RNAcentral lists this ribosomal RNA (429 nucleotides) under bacterium. Its description in RNAcentral is "partial 16S ribosomal RNA". It matches the Rfam family "Bacterial small subunit ribosomal RNA", at positions 355 to 776 of the family's 1533-position model. The record is from RNAcentral.